CUCGUCGCCCUCGUUGCCGUGGCAGCCGCCGCCCCUCAGCAGCAGCCGCCCGUUGCCAUCCUCCUGGACGAACGCGUUUCUCCCGAGAACGGCGCUUACUCCUUCCAGUUCCAGGCGGAGAACGGCAUCGUGCAGAGUGAGACUGGAACACAAGGUUCUCAAGGCCAGACAAAUGUGCAAGGAGUUUUCAGUUUCCCCCUGGAAGACGGCAGCAUCGCCGAAGUCCGGUACCAAGCUGACGAGAACGGCUUCCAGGCCCAGUCCCCUCUGCUGCCCGUCGCCCCCGAGUUCCCUCACCCCAUCCCGCAGUUCGUCCUCGACCAGAUCGCCUUCGCCGAGGAGCAGGAUCGCCUCGAAGCUCAGCUUCAGUUCCAGUGAACACUAAAUGCCACCUUCAGAAUUCUGGAGAUGAUGUGUUAAUUUGUAUAGUGUGUAAUAAAAACGUGUAAAAAGGA
This 455-nucleotide long non-coding RNA is filed under the name Penaeus chinensis. Its description in RNAcentral is "uncharacterized LOC125031712". The record is from RNAcentral. Lineage: Eukaryota; Metazoa; Arthropoda; Malacostraca; Decapoda; Penaeidae.